GAUGAAGAACGCAGUGAAAUGCGAUACGUAAUGUGAAUUGCAGAAUUCAGUGAACCAUCGAGUCUUUGAACGCAAGUUGCGCCCGAAGCCAUUAGGCCGAGGGCACGCCUGCCUGGGCGUCACACGUCGUUGCCCCCCCAUCUACUCCUUCGGGAUUGCGGGGGGCGGAUGAUGGCCUCCCGUGCGCCUCGUCGCGCGGUUGGCAUAAAUGCCAAGUCCUCGGCGACGCACGCCACGACAAUCGGUGGUUGCGAAACCUCGGUUGCCCGUCGUGUGCGGUCGUCGCGCAUCGAGGGCUCGAAAAAAUUGCCGGGCUCCGGCUCGGCUUUCAACGCGACCCCAGGUCAGGCGGGGUUACCCGCUGAAUUUAAGCAUAUCAAUAAGCGGAGGA
RNAcentral lists this unclassified non-coding RNA (391 nucleotides) under soil metagenome. RNAcentral describes it as "partial contains 5.8S ribosomal RNA, internal transcribed spacer 2, and large subunit ribosomal RNA". The stretch from base 1 to 122 matches the Rfam family "5.8S ribosomal RNA", at positions 35 to 154 of the family's 154-position model. The record is from RNAcentral.